GACGAACGCUGGCGGCGUGCUUAACACAUGCAAGUCGAACGGAAAGGCCCUGCUUGCAGGGUACUCGAGUGGCGAACGGGUGAGUAACACGUGGGUGAUCUGCCCUGCACUUCGGGAUAAGCCUGGGAAACUGGGUCUAAUACCGGAUAGGAGCCAUUUUUAGUGUGAUGGUUGGAAAGUUUUUUCGGUGUAGGAUGAGCUCGCGGCCUAUCAGCUUGUUGGUGGGGUAAUGGCCUACCAAGGCGGCGACGGGUAGUCGGCCUGAGAGGGUGGACGGCCACAUUGGGACUGAGAUACGGCCCAGACUCCUACGGGAGGCAGCAGUGGGGAAUAUUGCACAAUGGGCGCAAGCCUGAUGCAGCGACGCCGCGUGGGGGAUGACGGCCUUCGGGUUGUAAACGCCUUUCGCUAGGGACGAAGCUUUUUGUGACGGUACCUAGAUAAGAAGCACCGGCUAACUACGUG
Molecule: ribosomal RNA, 465 nt
Filed under: uncultured bacterium
Lineage: Bacteria
Description: partial 16S ribosomal RNA
Rfam family: Bacterial small subunit ribosomal RNA
Source: RNAcentral